GAUGAACGCUGGCGGCGUGCCUAAUACAUGCAAGUCGAGCGAACAGACGAGGAGCUUGCUCCUCUGACGUUAGCGGCGGACGGGUGAGUAACACGUGGAUAACCUACCUAUAAGACUGGGAUAACUUCGGGAAACCGGAGCUAAUACCGGAUAAUAUAUUGAACCGCAUGGUUCAAUAGUGAAAGACGGUUUUGCUGUCACUUAUAGAUGGAUCCGCGCCGCAUUAGCUUGUUGGUAAGGUAACGGCUUACCAAGGCAACGAUGCGUAGCCGACCGGAGAGGGUGAUCCGCCACACAGGACCUGGGAGACGGUCCAGGCUCCUACGUGAGGCAGCAGUAGGGAAUCUGCCGCAAUGGGCGAAAGAUUGACGGAGCAACGCCGCGUGAGUGAUGAAGGGCUUCGGAUCGUAAAACUCUGUUAUGAGGGAAGAACAAAUGUGUAAGUAACUAUGCACGUCUUGACGGUACCGAAUCAGAAAACCACGGCUAACUACGU
This 496-nucleotide ribosomal RNA is filed under the name uncultured bacterium. RNAcentral's name for it is "partial 16S ribosomal RNA". It matches the Rfam family "Bacterial small subunit ribosomal RNA", at positions 28 to 506 of the family's 1533-position model. The record is from RNAcentral.